Molecule: ribosomal RNA, 484 nt
Filed under: uncultured Pseudomonadota bacterium
Lineage: Bacteria; Pseudomonadati; Pseudomonadota
Description: bacterial SSU rRNA
Rfam family: Bacterial small subunit ribosomal RNA
Source: RNAcentral
AGCGAACGCUGGCGGCAGGCUUAACACAUGCAAGUCGAACGCUCGUGGCAACACGGGAGUGGCAGACGGGUGAGUAACGCGUGGGAACAUGCCCUUUGGUUCGGAAUAACUCAGGGAAACUUGAGCUAAUACCGGAUAAGCCCGAGAGGGGAAAGAUUUAUCGCCGAAGGAUUGGCCCGCGUCCGAUUAGCUAGUUGGUGAGGUAACGGCUCACCAAGGCGACGAUCGGUAGCUGGUCUGAGAGGAUGAUCAGCCACACUGGGACUGAGACACGGCCCAGACUCCUACGGGAGGCAGCAGUGGGGAAUAUUGGACAAUGGGGGCAACCCUGAUCCAGCCAUGCCGCGUGAGUGAUGAAGGCCUUAGGGUUGUAAAGCUCUUUCGGCGGGGACGAUAAUGACGGUACCCGCAGAAGAAGCCCCGGCUAACUUCGUGCCAGCAGCCGCGGUAAUACGAAGGGGGCUAGCGUUGCUCGGAAUCACUG